UUGACUCUCCUGCCCUCCUGCUCCUAGGGCUCUGAGCUCCAUCCUGGAGACCUGGCUUCUCCAGUACCCAGGAGACUUUUGUCAGUGCCCAGACAUGGCCAACCUCAAGCAGCUCGUGGCCUACGCACUCCUGAACCUUCCAGACUCGGACAUCAUCCUGCACUUGUGCACAUUCUCGGCCCAAUUCAGAGUCCGCUAAGAGGGAUCCCAUCCCAGAGCCAUAUUACAUUUGUCAUCUGACACCAAGAUUUGGCCAAGGAAAUGCAAAUGCAAGAUUCUGUGAUCAUGGAAAGGUAUGUAUCUCCAGUUUGCAACAGUUGUAUACGUUUUUGAAAAUGCCCUAGAUUGUACUGUUAUUGGAUU
Molecule: long non-coding RNA, 363 nt
Filed under: Cavia porcellus (domestic guinea pig)
Lineage: Eukaryota; Metazoa; Chordata; Mammalia; Rodentia; Caviidae
Description: lncRNA (ENSCPOG00000037615.1)
Source: RNAcentral